CCCUUAGAUGUUCUGGGCUGCACGCGCGCUACACUGACGCACGCAACAGGUGCCCGCUCCGAGAGGACUGGGUAAUCAUUUGAGUGUGCGUCGUGAUGGGGAUAGAAUAUUGUAAUUAUUACUCUUCAACGAGGAAUUCCUAGUAAGCGCCAGUCAGCAGCUUGCGCUGAUUACGUCCCUGCCCUUUGUACACACCGCCCGUCGCUCCUACCGAUGGGUGAUCCGGUGAAUGAUUCGGACUUCAGCGGCUCCCCUGGGGUGCGCCGGAGAAAGUUUUGUGAACCUUAUCACUUGGAGGAAGGAGAAGUCGUAACA
This 315-nucleotide ribosomal RNA is filed under the name uncultured eukaryote. RNAcentral describes it as "partial 18S ribosomal RNA". It matches the Rfam family "Eukaryotic small subunit ribosomal RNA", at positions 1470 to 1796 of the family's 1831-position model. The record is from RNAcentral.